This is a small nuclear RNA of Cervus hanglu yarkandensis (Yarkand deer), 186 nucleotides long. Its record names the gene U2. It matches the Rfam family "U2 spliceosomal RNA". Rfam says of the family: U2 is a small nuclear RNA (snRNA) component of the spliceosome (involved in pre-mRNA splicing). Complementary binding between U2 snRNA (in an area lying towards the 5' end but 3' to hairpin I) and the branchpoint sequence (BPS) of the intron results the bulging out of an unpaired adenosine, on the BPS, which initiates a nucleophilic attack at the intronic 5' splice site, thus starting the first of two transesterification reactions that mediate splicing. The record is from Ensembl. Lineage: Eukaryota; Metazoa; Chordata; Mammalia; Artiodactyla; Cervidae.
GUUGUUCCUUUGGGUUUUGGCCCAAGAUCAUUAUCUGUUCAUAUCAUUUAGCAUCUCGUAAAUCCUCUACCUGAGGAUGCUUUUAUUAAAUGGAAUUUUGGAACAGGGAGAUAAACUCGAGGCUCUCUCCGUCCAUUCCCCAAGUCCACCAGGUGCCGAAGUUCCUCCAUGAAGGGUGUGGUUCUU